Molecule: ribosomal RNA, 275 nt
Filed under: unidentified marine bacterioplankton
Lineage: Bacteria
Also listed under: 1 other name
Description: partial 16S ribosomal RNA
Rfam family: Bacterial small subunit ribosomal RNA
Source: RNAcentral
AACGAUGAAGUGGAGCUUGCUCCACGGAUUAGUGGCGAACGGGUGAGGAACACGUGAGAAACCUGCCUCGGAUUUUGGGAUAACAAAUGGAAACGUUUGCUAAUACCAAAUAACGUCGGAGAGUCACAUGACUUUCUGACGAAAGGAAUUCCGAUUCGAGAGGGUCUCGCGGCCUAUCAGCUUGUUGGCGGGGUAAUGGCCCACCAAGGCAACGACGGGUAGCUGGUCUGAGAGGAUGGUCAGCCACACUGGGACUGAGACACGGCCCAGACUCC